This 85-nucleotide transfer RNA is filed under the name uncultured Bartonella sp. RNAcentral's name for it is "tRNA-Ala". The stretch from base 10 to 82 matches the Rfam family "tRNA". Rfam says of the family: Transfer RNA (tRNA) molecules are approximately 80 nucleotides in length. Their secondary structure includes four short double-helical elements and three loops (D, anti-codon, and T loops). Lineage: Bacteria; Pseudomonadati; Pseudomonadota; Alphaproteobacteria; Hyphomicrobiales; Bartonellaceae. The record is from RNAcentral.
CAUUCUUUAGGGGCCGUAGCUCAGCUGGGAGAGCACCUGCUUUGCAAGCAGGGGGUCGUCGGUUCGAUCCCGUCCGGCUCCACCA